Molecule: unclassified non-coding RNA, 307 nt
Filed under: plant metagenome
Description: partial contains 5.8S ribosomal RNA, internal transcribed spacer 2, and large subunit ribosomal RNA
Rfam family: 5.8S ribosomal RNA (bases 1-105)
Source: RNAcentral
GAAAUGCGAUAAGUAGUGUGAAUUGCAGAAUUCAGUGAAUCAUCGAAUCUUUGAACGCACAUUGCGCCCUUUGGUAUUCCAAAGGGCAUGCCUGUUCGAGCGUCAUUUGUACCCUCAAGCUUUGCUUGGUGUUGGGCGUCUUGUCUCUAGCUUUGCUGGAGACUCGCCUUAAAGUAAUUGGCAGCCGGCCUACUGGUUUCGGAGCGCAGCACAAGUCACACUCUCUAUCAGCAAAGGUCUAGCAUCCAUUAAGCCUUUUUUCAACUUUUGACCUCGGAUCAGGUAGGGAUACCCGCUGAACUUAAGC